AAUGAUCUUUGACAAGAAAGAAACAUCUGUGAGACAUGUUUCAUUGUUGGCCUUAAUUUUGGAUCAGCUUGUAGACAUGCGAAUGCUAUGGUAGCUACGUGAACAAUAUUCUGUGCGACCAGCUGGCUUGUUGGAGGUGAGAGACGUGGAUCUAAUACAUCAGUUAACAUUAUAUUUUGCAAUGAAGAUGGUGCUGAUAACAAGGACAAAAUUUCUGCAGGAUGCUUUCCCAUCAAUGUUUCCAAUGCCAAUACUCCAAAACUAUAAACAUCACCUUUUUCAGUUACAACCAUUGUGUAGGCAAAUUCUGGAAAAACAAAACAAUGCAAAUUAAAAUAUAUUAAAACAUAUAAUAAUCAUUAAUGACCCUUUUGCUUAUAUUUCCCAAAUCCUAACCCAUAUAAUUGUUUCUCCUGAUUUUUGCCCACGUAUGUAUAUAUAUUCUUGCAUAUCGAAUUUGUAGUGACAGCUUCCAUGCAUUUGGUUUGACAAUUACUCAUUAGUCAUAUGACACAAAAAUUUAACAAUGAAAACCGAUUUAAUCUACAAAUUAACUACAAAAAGUAAACAAGUAAAGUUGAGAGUAAAGCAAAUUAGUAAAUGAAUGGGUAGAGGAUAACGUCACCUGGAGCUACAUAGCCAUAAGUGCCAACAAGCCUUGUUUGAUUUGAAGAAUCAGGAUCUAUGAUUCUGGCAGUCCCAAAGUCAGAGACAAAAGCCUCCAAGUCCGAGUUUAACAGAAUGUUGUUACUUGAAAUGUCUCGAUGAACUAUUAUUGGUGUGCACGCAAAAUGCAAGUAAGAUAAAGCGUAAGCUGUGCUCUUGAUAAUGUUCACUCUUUUUGCCCAAUCCAAUUCCACGGCUUGAACAUCAUCACUUAGCAUGAAAAACAAGCUUCCCCUUUCCAUGUAUUCAUAAAUCAAAAACAUGCAUCGUUUGUGUAGACAAUACCCAUGCAGUUUCACAAUGUUUCGAUGUCGAACUUCUGUUAAGAAUUUGAUCUCAUUUCUAAAACUCCUAUCGAAAGCCGGUUCCUCAGCUUCAAGACGAUGAAGCUUCUUCAAGGCAACCACUUUGCCACUUGGUAGCUGUGCUUUGUAGACACUUCCGUAACCACCAGUUCCAAUGCAGUAUCGAAUGUCAAAAUCAUUUGUUGCUGCUAUGAUGUCUUCGUAAGCAAUCUUUCCAUCGUAGUUCCAUAUCGAGAACAGGUCUCCAUUCUUCGUGGCUUGCAAUACACUAGUUGGGUUGACCUUGACCUUACACCUCCACGAUAAUAAUGAACACCCGAGAAGAAAAAAAGCAACGAGUACGGUAACGGGUAGAAAUAUUUGGAGAUUGUGACCCUUCUUCACUGAAUAAUUGGUUGGCGGAGAACAGGAGUAGGGUGAUAAAUUUUUGUUGCCACCAAAUAUGCGAGCAUCUAUAUCAUAACAGCUAGAAUUUACGAAAUUAUACAUUGCCCAAGGAAUAUUAAGUGGAACUACACCUGAGAAAUCAUUAUUUCUCAGAUCUACUUGUUCUAGCAACGAAAGAUUGCCGAUUUGACUAGGAAUGAGACCUUGUAAAUUGUUGCUACUUAAGUUCAACUCAGUUAAAUUGAAGCAAUUACCAAUUUGAGGCGGAAUGGGUCCAGUCAAUCGAUUUUGAAAGAGAUUCAAUGAAACCAGUGCUCUCAAAUUUCCAAUUUCCUUGGGUAUGUGACCUUCUAAAAGAUUUGACUGGAGGGAUAAAGUCAGCAAAGUCUUCAAAUCUCCAAUUUUUGAAGGGAUAGAACCAGUGAUUCUGUUGUUGCAUAAGUUCAACUCUGUUAAAUUGAAGCAAUUACCAAUUUGAGGCGGAAUGGGUCCACUCAAUCGAUUUUGAAAGAGAUCCAAUGAAGCCAGUGCUCUCAAAUUUCCAAUUUCCUUGGGUAUGUGACCUUCUAAAAGAUUUGACUGAAGGGAUAAAGUCAGCAAAGUCUUCAAAUCUCCAAUUUUUGAAGGGAUAGAACCAUUGAUUCUAUUGAAGUCAAGAAGCAAAUUUUCUAGCUUGUGUAAAAAGCCUAAAGAGGAGGGGAUUGGACCGAUGAGGUAGUUCCUUGAUAGAUCCAUGGAGACCAAAUUGGAUAAUUGAAAUAGAGUGGAAGGAAUGGAAUCAUUAAGAAAGUUAUUAGACAAAUCCAGGGUCUCUAAAUUGGUUAACUCGCCUAGAGCGGAAGGAAUGAAACCAUUAAGAGAGUUAUAAGAUAAACCUAAGGUCUCUAAAUUGGUUAACUUACCUAGAGAGGAAGGAAUGGAACCAUUAAGAGAGUUACUAGACAAAUCUAGGGUCACUAAAUUGGUUAACUUACCUAAAGCUAAAGGAAUUGAACCACUAAGAGAGUUACGAAACAAAUCCAGGGUCACUAAAUUAGUUAACUUACCUAAAGCUAAAGGAAUGGAACCACUAAGAGAGUUACCAGACAAAUCCAGGGUCACUAAAUUGGUUAACUUACCUAAAGCGAAAGGAAUGGAAUCACUAAGAUAGUUACCAGACAAAUCCAGGGUCACUAAAUUGGUUAACUUACCUAGAGCGGAAGGAAUGAAACCACUAAGAUAGUUACCAGACAAAUCCAAGGUCACUAAAUUGGUUAACUUACCUAGAGCGGAAGGAAUGGAACCCCUAAGAGAGUUACGAGACAAUUCCAGGGUCACUAAAUUAGCUAACUUACCUAAAGCGGAAGGAAUGGAACCACUAAGAGAGUUAAAAGACAAAUCCAGGGUCACUAAAUUGCUUAACGCACUUAAAGUGGAACGAAUGGAACCACUAAGAAAGUUAUUAGACAAAUUCAGGUUCUUUAAAUUGGUUAACUCACUUAGAAUGGAAGGAAUGGAACCACUAAGAGAGUUAUUAGACAAAUCUAGAUUCUCUAAAUUGGUUAACUCACUUAGAGUGGAAGGAAUUGAAUCAAAUAACCCACAAUCAUUUAGUUAGAGAGUCACCAAAUUCUUUAACUUUCCAAUUUCUACUGGGAUGGAUCCAUUGAUUUGGUCAUGUGAAAAAUCAAUAUACUCUAAUCGGAUGAGAUUGCCAAGCCGAAGAGAUAACCUACCAUGUAAAUAAUUGAAGGACAAGUCGAUAUGCGUUAAUCUUGACAGAUUGCUUAUAUUGAAAGUAAAAUCCUCCAUGUUCCCAUUGAGUUCAUGACUACUAAGAUUGAGAAAAACAAGAUUUGGAAAGCAAGAGAAGUCCAUAUUCUUGAAUUUACCACCAACCUUAAUAGCGUCAGAAGGUGGGUUAAUUUUGAUGACGCUUCCAGCAUCAUUGCAUGAGAUACCUGUCCAGUUGCAACGUUGCAAAGUGUCGUUGCUGUAGCUACUCCACCAGCCACUCUCGAGUAGAGCCUUCGCUUCUCGUUCCAGUGACAAUGCUGUUGCUGAGGUAGUUGCGGCAACUUGAGACGCAACAUAGAAAGGAAUGAUGGUAGUACUCCAUACCAUCACCGUUACGAGAGUUGUAAUAGCUAAGCUCAUGUUUAAGUUCAUCAUUUAUGGCGAGUUCUUGUUGUUGUAUGUUAAUUGCCGGAGGACCGAAAUUUAAAGACGUCUAGUUCCGGAGUCAAGGUCUUCUAAAAGUGAAGAGUGAAGACUAUGAACAGAGAUACAGAGAGUGGAAUUUCGAUUCUUACACAGAAAGUUCAUGGUGUGGUCCACUUCUCUUUUUGCCUAAUUUUUAUUCAAAUGCGGGUCCAUAAAUUUUUGCUCAACCGCGUGGGUCCAACUGAGGUUGAAUUUGAUACAGUAACACGAAAAUGUUAGUCUCUGGCAAAGCCUUUUAGUUCAAAAAUUCGAUAGCAAAGUGCCUUUCUUGAUUAAGCCUUUUAGUAUAUCAGAGCAUUCCUAGAACCAUCCUCAGCAAUAAUUACAGGAAAUACGUGUCUAAUACGCCCAUUGACUGCAAAUUUCUCCAGAAGUUUCGCCAUUAAUUUAUCAGAGUCGUUAAUGAUAUAUAACAUUCUGUUUGAUACGUCACUUCCACCACGCGAUAAGAAAUCUAUACAUUUGUUUUAGUGCACUUAAAACAGUGGGGUUGCAACAACUCAGCUUUCGAUGACUGAGUAAAUUCAGUGGCUACUCAUGUUUUUUCUUGAUCUUACAUGCAUGCAGCAUCUGAAGUGGUUGUCAAAUUUUUAACAUUAAUUUUGUUUUCAAAUUAACCAAAAUUAAGAACAUUGGUUUUUCCAUCAAUGUAGUAAUUGAUUAGAAAAAGCACCACAAGACUUAGCAAGAGAUCAAAGCCUCUCAAGUGAAUAGUCUUUGAUAGCAUCUCAAUCAAAUUAAAUUGUUCAAAUGUCACAUCUUAAAUAAAUUUGUAAAUAAAAAAUUUAUAACAUAUGGAAUUCAAGCAGAGUUUUAAAUUCUGAAGUACUUUUUAGCUUACAUUUACCUUUAAGAAACAAGUUUUAUUAAGUGAAAGGUCAACAAAUAGAGACUGUGCUUAUAAUUCUAAUUAAUUUUUAUCAAAUUUUAAAUCUAGUCUAAACUGAUUAAUAAUAAGUCAUGAAUUUUUUUAUUUAUAAUUUCAUAAUAUACUUUAAAUUUGAACACAUGAGCUGCACAUGUACAUAAUUUUUCAUAUUUAUAAAAGAUAAAUAUUAGAAAUAAGUUAUACUCAAUGAUAAUAAAUUUUAAUUUAGUUUAUACUACAUCAUAAUAUUGCUCGACAUUGUUUAUAUUAUAACUAAAUUAUUAUAUUAAACUUUAAAAGUUUGUUUAAAUUAUAUGAUUUCAAGUAAAAUUAUCCAAUUAAAUACAUGCAGGCAUGAUUUGUAAAAGCCGAGUCUUGACUUAAUCGUAUUGUUAAGAAGGAAUUUGAAGGUCCAAAGUCAACUAGAAUACCUAAAUCUAUGCUUAGUGCUAUGGACUGGUUUUUUAUAAUAUCCCUUGAUGGUAGUAUCGUACUGAGUACUGUUAUAUUAUUAUUUAAUCAUAGAAUGACACUUCAUAAAUGUAUAAAAAUAAAAAAUUAUGAGAGUUGUAAUAGCAAAGCUCAUGUCUAAGUUCAUCAUAUAUAUGGCCAAAGUUCUUUACAGACGGCUAUUUCCGGAGUCAAGGUCUUCUAAAAGUGAAGAGUGAUGACUAUGAAUAAAAAAUUCAUCGUGUGGAAUUUAUGCUAGAGCUGAGGAAUUUCGAAUCUUACACAAAAAAUUCAUGGUGUGGUCCACUUCUCUUUUUGCCCAACCCUGAGAACGUGAUCUGCUUUUACCGUUGUCUUUGCUUCAGCGUGUAUUAUCUCGUCCUUUUUUCUGCAAAAUUUAUUGCCGUGUCGAUUAGUUUCUUUGUGAGAGUCAAUGACGCAGUGUCUAGCAAGUAGCAACCCCUGCUUCCAGGAAGCAAUAGCCGCGUGGGUCCAACUGAGGAAGCAUUCCUAGAAUCAUCAUCAGGAAUAUAAGUAGAGGAUAUACUUGUCUAACACGCCCAUUGACUGCUCAUUUUCACAUUAAAGAAGUUUGGCCCCCUGAUGGACAAGGAUAAUAAAUUUUGCGCGUAUUUUGUUUAGUUUUCCUAUAUCUAGUCUUCAAAAAGCUAGAGAACUGAUUAAGAACAUUGUGGUUGUGAAAUUUUUAACAUUAUUUUUGCUUGUCUUGUACACUAGGAAUGCCUUUAGAAUCUCUCCACUAUAGGUUUCAGGGUUUACAUGCUUAUGCUUAACAUGAGAAACUUACAUGACCUCUAAUUUGAUUACUUUGGUAGAAUUAAAGUGGACCUUCAAUUAAUCGGUUUGAAAUUAUUACUCGAAACUAUUAAAUUAAAGAAGUUAAAUUUCUAAUCAUAAUCUUCCAAUUUAACUCUUAAAAAAGCAGGGUAAUACAAUAGUUGAUAAUGAAAAAGUUGGAUGCCUUUCAGUAAUUACGGGAACAAGAAAAAUAUUGAUCUGCCUUUCAAAAAAAAAAGGAAAAAUAUUGAUCUCAGGAUUGUAUUUGAUUCGUAUUACUGGUUUUUGCUUCUCAUGAUUCCUUCCUUUAUUCUCUCCUCUCUCUCUCCUUUACGAUACAUAGCUUACAAUCAGCAACAAUUUUCGCCUUUAUAGACCUUGUACAAGGAAACAACCGUUAGAAAAGUCACUCCAAAGUUCUCCUCAGCUCUAGCAAUAGCUUCUACUACUACACCCUCCCAAUCCAUACCCCUCACUGAGUGUCGCAUCCUUUGAAGCUCCCCUUCUGCGCAUUCCAAUUAAACACUCUACCUGUACCUGAAUUCCAAUUGUUAUAAUCAUUUUUAUUUACAAUUUACUUUCAGAUGUUACCUUUAAACGACUUAAUUUGACUAAGAAGCUAUCAAAGACUAUUGACUCGAGACACUUUGAUCUCCUGCUGAGUCUUGUACUUCUUCUAAUCAAUUACUGUAUUGAUGGAAAGACCAACGUUCUUAAUUUUGGUUUGAAAGCAAAAAUAAUGCUAAAAAUUUCACAACCACAAUGUUCUUAAUCAGUUCUCUAGCUUUUUGAAGACUAGAUAUAGGAAAACUAACCAAAAUACGCGCAAAAUUUAUUAUCCUUGUCCAUCAGGGGGCCAAACUUCUUUAAUGUGAAAAUGAGCAGUCAACUUCUUUAAUGUUAAAUUGUUUGUGUUUGACCAGAUAGGUGAAACCCAAUAUCUCCAUUAUUUUUAUUUAAUCUUUCUUUCUUUCAUUGUAGAAAGGGUAAUUUCAAUGACCAUUGGAUGUUAAUUUGAUAUCAGUCACUCUGUUUCCUUUGACAAAAAAAGCUCUGUUUCAUUGUUGGAAUCGAAUUUUGCUCAUAUGAAUUAGUUAGUUUUAAACAUCGAGCAGUGUCCUAAAAUAUAAUCUAAAAUAGGAUUAGCUGCAUCUAACUCUUGUUUAAGGAAUGAAGUGAUUUCAGCAUAAUGAAAUGUAACUUAUCAUGAUAGACUACCCUUUCACAUGGAAAACAGAACUCAUUUUCACCAAAUUGGAGAACUAAUAACAUGUAGAAUAUGAAAGAGGCAAUAACAAAAAGUAAGGACCCAGAAUAAAAAGAAAAAGGUUGAAACCAGAAACGCAUCCUAUCAAUCAGUUCACAAAAACAACAAGACACUUGUCCUAAUAAUGGCACUAUCAUUGUGGAGCUUGACAUGAUCCUUCCAUAUGCAUUCCACUUGUCACAAGUUGCAGCAAAGAGAUUGUUCGGAGGGGGUUCCUUAAUGAUCUUUGACAAGAAAGGAACAUUUGUGAGACAAGUUUCAUUGUUGGCCGUAAUUUUGGAUCAGCUUGUAGACAUGCGAAUGCUAUUGUAGCUACAUGAACAAUAUUCUGUGCGACUAGCUGGCUUGUUGGAGGUGAGAGACGUGGAUCUAGCACAUCAAUUAACAUUAUAUUUUGCAAAGAAGAUGGUUCUGACAACAAGGAUAAAAUUUCCACAGGAUGCUUUCCGACCAAUGUUUCCAAUGCCAAUACUCCAAAACUAUAAACAUCACAUUUUUC
RNAcentral lists this long non-coding RNA (7442 nucleotides) under Theobroma cacao (cacao). RNAcentral's name for it is "long non-coding RNA (TCAC_LNC000643)". Lineage: Eukaryota; Viridiplantae; Streptophyta; Magnoliopsida; Malvales; Malvaceae. The record is from RNAcentral.